GACGAACGCUGGCGGCGUGCCUAAUACAUGCAAGUAGAACGCUGAAGGAGGAGCUUGCUUCUCUGGAUGAGUUGCGAACGGGUGAGUAACGCGUAGGUAACCUGCCUGGUAGCGGGGGAUAACUAUUGGAAACGAUAGCUAAUACCGCAUAAUAGCAGUUGUUGCAUGACAACUGUUUGAAAGGUGCAAUUGCACCACUACCAGAUGGACCUGCGUUGUAUUAGCUAGUUGGUGGGGUAACGGCUCACCAAGGCGACGAUACAUAGCCGACCUGAGAGGGUGAUCGGCCACACUGGGACUGAGACACGGCCCAGGCUCCUACGGGAGGCAGCAGUAGGGAAUCUUCGGCAAUGGACGGAAGUCUGACCGAGCAACGCCGCGUGAGUGAAGAAGGUUUUCGGAUCGUAAAGCUCCGUUGUAAGAGAAGAACGAGUGUGAGAGUGGAAAGUCCACACUGUGACGGUAUCUUACCAGAAAGGGACGGCUAACUACGUG
RNAcentral lists this ribosomal RNA (495 nucleotides) under uncultured bacterium. RNAcentral's name for it is "partial 16S ribosomal RNA". It matches the Rfam family "Bacterial small subunit ribosomal RNA", at positions 28 to 507 of the family's 1533-position model. The record is from RNAcentral.